Molecule: ribosomal RNA, 497 nt
Filed under: uncultured bacterium
Lineage: Bacteria
Description: partial 16S ribosomal RNA
Rfam family: Bacterial small subunit ribosomal RNA
Source: RNAcentral
GAUGAACGCUGGCGGCGUGCCUAAUACAUGCGAGUCGAGCGAACAGACGAGGAGCUUGCUCCUCUGACGUUAGCGGCGGACGGGUGAGUAACACGUGGAUAACCUACCUAUAAGACUGGGAUAACUUCGGGAAACCGGAGCUAAUACCGGAUAAUAUAUUGAACCGCAUGGUUCAAUAGUGAAAGACGGUUUUGCUGUCACUUAUAGAUGGAUCCACGCCGCAUUAGCUAGUUGGUAAGGUAACGGCUUACCAAGGCGACGAUGCGUAGCCGACCUGAGAGGGUGAUCGGCCACACUGGAACUGAGACACGGUCCAGACUCCUACGGGAGGCAGCAGUAGGGAAUCUUCCGCAAUGGGCGAAAGCCUGACGGAGCAACGCCGCGUGAGUGAUGAAGGUCUUCGGAUCGUAAAACUCUGUUAUUAGGGAAGAACAAAUGUGUAAGUAACUAUGCACGUCUUGACGGUACCUAAUCAGAAAGCCACGGCUAACUACGUG